Molecule: long non-coding RNA, 1228 nt
Organism: Vidua macroura (Pin-tailed whydah)
Lineage: Eukaryota; Metazoa; Chordata; Aves; Passeriformes; Viduidae
Exons: 6
Source: RefSeq, a predicted model, not a curated record
CUGUGUGCAUAAAGAUCUGGGAAAAAAAAACUGAGUCUGAAGCAUGACAGGAAGCUUUAAUGACACCCCUGGUGUCCAUGCCAAGGAGAAAACUCCAGGUCUGCUGUCCCAAUGCCAGAUUUGAGGGCACUUUGCACAGCUCCUGGCUUUGAAGAGUCAUUGCAAACCAGCAGCAGCACACUCUCCAGUUCAAGGAGUUGAGUGCAGAGAAAAGGCUGGAAAAGUUGGGGAGAAGUGAUGAAAGCCUGUUCCUAUGAGCUGCAGAGGCAUCUUUUCCCAGGAAUUGUGCAGUGCUGCCAUGUUUCACACCCUCAGUGCUGCCUCUCACAAGGCAAGGACCAUGGAAAUGAAGCAAUCAGCAUGGCUCGAUAAUUACGGUGGCAGCUCGUGUGUGCUCAGUAGGUUUGGGCUGAAAGGAGAUUUCUUGGCUCUUCAAUCUAUCAGGUCCUGUACAGACCCAAUAAAAAAGUGAUGGUUCAUGCCCUAUAAUAGAAUAAAAAGAGGUUGUUCUAGGACCAGACACUGUCUUUCAGAAGAAGAAAACAAAUUGAUCCCAUUUAAAAUUCUUCUUCAUCCAUGACCAACCCAAUUUAAAAUGCUAUCAAUCUGCAUGGUGGCUUCCCCACUGGAAAAGGACAAAAAUAGGGAGCACAGUUUGUGUCCUUGCUGUGGCCAGAGUCAGAGCAGCAGGGAUGUGCCUGAUGAUGGAGAGAAAGACCUUGAAGAACAGGAGAACGACAGCCUUUGAACACCUGGUGACCAAAUUAUCUCAACUGCAAAAGUGCAACUGGAAUGGAAAUUGCUGUGAAGGCAUCACAAGCAGCAGAGAGGUGGAAAAAGUCACCUCAUUGCAAAGUGAGGUGGGUUUGACCUUCCCCCUGGUCCUACAGAGGGGUGACAGCUCUGACUCUGAUCUACAGGUGCAGAGUGGGGAAGUGUCUCAGGCUGAAAGUCCAGCUGUGUGUGUCUAUUCUAUUUCCCAUCUGUCAGAGGUGGGGCAGUUCUCUGCUGUCCAUGGGGCAGUUUUUUCUUUAUCUCUCCCACAGCCAAUCCUCCCUCCAGGAGAUCUCUUCUGUCCAUGGCCACUGAGUGUCCCUGCAUGGCUGAGAAAAUUCCAGCAUCCCAUGGGGAGAUGCUGUGCCCAGGGCAGGAGCCAAGCAUUCCUACCUGGAUCCAAUCUGACUCCUGCAACACCACAGCAGCCUUUGCCCACUGCAUUCCCAGAGGA